Long non-coding RNA from Oreochromis niloticus (Nile tilapia), 2029 nucleotides. Lineage: Eukaryota; Metazoa; Chordata; Actinopteri; Cichliformes; Cichlidae. The record is from Ensembl.
GUUAAUACACUCUACUGAUCCCUGAUGGGAGCAUCAUCACCUCUGCCAACAAAGAAGCCUGGUGGAUGUUUGUUUGCAGUCUGAUGAUGGGAGAUCAUGCUGUGCAUCUUCAAAGUUUGUCUCUUGAUUAUUAUUCAUACACAGUAAUGUGAAGCAUGCUCAUAUCUAGUAUAACUGAACCAACCUGGUGCUCUUCAUUUAUGGAGGCUGUUGAGUCUGAAUGUUGGAUGUUGUGUAUCUCGUGUUCUCUGGGCUUUGUUGUCCUCAGUCUUUUUGCAGGAUCAGAAAACAAAACCAGAAUGACCGUAAAUGUUUCUUCUCCAAUUGGAUGAUGAUAAGACCGUGACAUGGGAUGCCACCUUUAGUCUUGUGAUGAAGCAAAGCUCAGGAAGAAGUAUGAUUAAAUGGUACCCACAUGUGUGCUGCUGAGAAGGAUGUACAGGGGCACCUGCAGCCAAAUCCAAGUCUCCUCAGAGGAGCAGUUUGUGCUCACAGAUGGUGACGGUGUGGAGAGACGGUGGUGUUUCCUCAGAAGAACUAGCAGAGUCACAAAGGGCACGAGUCCUUCUCACCACCUUGACUUGCUGACUGAUGCUCAUCUGCACUGCACAGAGGAAAUCAACUGACCGAGGUUUGUCCAGUGACGUGUUAUGAAAUGUAUAUUUGUUUUAUGCUUACAGAUAUGUUUUUCUUGACAGAGGGACUCUGCAGAGGUUAGACAAAGCAGAGAAAACAUGUGCUUUACAUUUUACUGUGAUUUACUGGGAUAUUUGUUGCCUGAUGUUUAGCAGGAAUGGAGGAAUGGAAUCAAAGGGAGAAGUUUUUACUGUUUUUCUAAUGAUGUAAGUAAAUCUUCAAUAUUAUUUAUUUGCUUGGUUAUAUUAGGAGUGUUUCUGAGUGAGGGAGAGAGGAGUCAUCAUCCAGGUAAAGUGACGUGGAUCAGUGGAUACACUUGUCUCACCUUUAAAGGAGAUACUCUUAGAGAGAGACGAAUCGUAAUGAUCAUGAUUACAAUGAUGACAGCGAGCGGAACUAAGACUGUAAAAAUCCACGACCAGAAUGUUUAGAUGCUUUCUAAUUAUUCAUGAAUACUGAGAGCCUCUUUCUGUGUUUUGUCUGUUUUGUUUUUUUUUACCUCAUUUGUUACUAACAAAGAUCACCAAACUCACACAGUUUACAUUCUGUAUGUUUCCAUCUUUACCAGCCACACUCUGCCUGCAAUUAAGAAAAUAAUCCUUAGCAAUCGUCAUUUUUCUCUUUUGUAAUUGAUGAUAAUUCAGUGAAUAUACUGCGCUGCUUCCUUUUAUUGCGUCUCAUAUUGCUUUAAGUUUUUCAGUGUACAGUUAUUUUUUUACUUCUGUUUGAAUUAAGAUAAGAUAAGAUAACCUUUAUUAGUCCCACACGUGGGAAAUUUCUCUGUAUGUUUGACCCUGUAGACUGUUUGAUGGACUGCUUGUCUUCCUGUUUGUAACCGCCGCCUGUUUUUGACUAAAGAUUUGGAUUUCUGACUUUAACACAGCCUCUGCGUGUCCUCCCUUUGUGUCCUCUUCCUCUGUGAAUGUGUUGCAUGUGUCACAGAUUCAUUUUAUUAACAGCUUUCCCACAGUGAAUUGCAUCAGCAUUCACUCACAGCACAUUGCAGAAGGAUUCAGAUUAAUACAGUGAUCUUACAGUCAGCAUUAUCCUGACAGAGUGCCACUGUAAAUUAUCUUUCAUCAGGUCAAUUUUAAAGUUCAGUAUUUCAAAGCAGGAGUUAUGAAGAAUCAUAUUGGCAUUAGGACUGUAACAAUAUGUACUUACAAAGUCAAAGUUUUUUUUAAUUAUGUUAGAAUAUUGGAAGAGAAUCAACUUUUAGUGUUUUCUGCAUAUUAAUUAUACUGAAAUAGAGAUGGUGACCCUAACUGUACAGAAGUAUACUAAACAACUGACAAUCUAACAAACAUUACUGGCCUGAGCCAUCAUGCACAGUGAGUCUGAUCCUGUGCUGUGAGAGUCUGAUAAGCAUGUUUCUGGUCAGUUUGGAAGAAAU